AAUCCAUGGUGAGGACAACCCCUCUAAUAACCCUUGAAACGUUCCCUUGAAACGUUGAAUGAUUCGGUUGGACCCUGAACGAACAAGGAGAUCUUGGCUCUCAAAUC
This is a small nucleolar RNA of Arabis alpina (gray rockcress), 107 nucleotides long. It matches the Rfam family "Plant small nucleolar RNA R71". From Rfam's summary of the family: R71 is a member of the C/D box family of snoRNAs containing the C (UGAUGA) and D (CUGA) box motifs. Multiple nearly identical copies of this snoRNA have been identified in Arabidopsis, and it is thought to function as a 2'-O-ribose methylation guide for 18S ribosomal RNA. NCBI's taxonomy places the organism in Eukaryota, Viridiplantae, Streptophyta, Magnoliopsida, Brassicales, Brassicaceae. The record is from Rfam.